Long non-coding RNA from Danio rerio (zebrafish), 2100 nucleotides. The record is from Ensembl. Lineage: Eukaryota; Metazoa; Chordata; Actinopteri; Cypriniformes; Danionidae.
CUACUGGAUUUCACUAGUGUUCGCCACGCUUAUAAAUGGAAUAAACGCAGAUAAAAGUUCAGCUCUCUGUGCGAAAUCUGAAUUCUGGAACAAUGAUGCAGCUGUGUGUGUGCCUUGUUAUGAGUGCAAACAGUACCCAAAAAUUCCAUCAUGCGACACAUGCCCACCCAUAGAGCCUUCGGAUUCCUGGAGGGUGGCAGCAAUUACCAGUUUAUCUGUCCUGGCAGCCGUAAUUGUUUUUGGAGCCUUACUCAUAGGCGUUCUAGUACAUCAGUGCAGGUCCAGGAGGACCUUACGGGAUCCAAUUGAAGAGACAACGGGACCUCUUUAUGCAGUAUAGGUUCUUGAAACAUUUUUUUGUUUUUGUAUGCUUUGAAAGGGAUUUCUUCGGUUCAUGUGCGAUCUCCUAAAUGUUUGCAGCUCAUGGACCUCAAGGUGACAGCAUAUGGAAAUGGACUGUUACUCCAGUGAAUUAAUGCUCCAGUCGGGGAAGCAUUGGCUGGUACCUCAACCACAGAGUAUUCUAUGAGUAGCAUCUAAAUUGUUUAAUUUAUUUCAUGUUAUGCAUAGCGAAUAGUUAUGCACAAAAGCUGCACUGAGACCUUGUCAUUCACUGUGCAGAAUGAGUUCGCAAACCUUAGGUGCUAAGUGACACAACUGACAGCACGACAGCAUUUUUUACAUUCCUUUUUUUUUUUUUUUGGAACACUUAAGAUGCUUCGACGGGUGUUUUGCAGAAUUUAGUUUGAGGCCAUUCCUGUUGCAGUUAUAGUGCAUUUCCACUUGAUUAACUCCAAUUUGUUUAAGAUAGUACUAUUUUCCUUCUUUUUUUUUUUUUUUUACACCAAUAUGCCUCCUAAACAGAUUUAGCAUGGCACAUAGCCAUUUGAAUGUAUUUGUAUACUUCAUUUGUACAGUUUAGUUAUAUAUUUUUAUAGUGUUGAAAUACUACGCACUGUAGAUGUAGCCCUGUGUACAACGAUGUUCUGACACUGACCGGCUCAGCAGCCCGUCUAUGGCAUUGAUGAAGACUCUGGAGACAGAGGGAAACUGCAAAGACAAAGCAGCCGAUGAAACAGAAGAAUCGACAACUGACAAUUCAGAUUCUCUCUAUCAAAAAACAAAUAGCCGCAGGUGUCAGAAUCUUAAUUUUCCUGCCUUUAUGCACAUACGAGAUUAGAUAGUGAUAUUUACAUACUUGUAUCUACAUUUAAUCUCCCAUGUCUAAUCGUCUUAGUAAAAUGUUACAAAAGGAUAGAGUCAUCCAUUUCAGGUGUGUAGCUAGCAGUGGGCAUUAGGAAAUGUAUGUAUUUUUAUACAGGAGAUAAGAGUAAUUUUUAUAAAGCGUAUAAGACAUUAAAUGUUUGGAUGAAAUCAAACAAGAACAGGUGAAUCUCUAAAACCUACCAAGAUCAUGUCAGGGGUUUCAUUUCACCCUAGAUCAGGGAUGUCCAAACUCGGAGGGCCGGUGUCCUGCUGAGUUUAGCAGCUAGCUCUCUGCAACUCGCACAUGGUUGCCCACUAAAGCUAAGCAGGGCUGUGCCUGGUCAGUACCUGGAUGGAAGACCACAUGGGAAAGCUAGGAAGCUGCCGCAAGUGGUGUUGGUGAGGCCAGCAGGGGGCGCCCAACCUGUGGUCUGUGUGGGUCCUAAUGCCCCAGUAUAGUGAUGGGGACGCUAUACUGCUCAGUGAGCGCCGUCUAUCGGAUGAGACGUUAAACCAAGGUCCUGACUCUCUGUGGUCAUUAAAAAUCCCAGGAUAUCCUUCGAAAGAGAGUAGGGGUUUAACCCUGGCAUCCUGGCCAAAUCUGCCCACUGGCCUCUGUCCAUCAUUGCCUACUAAUCAUCCCCAUAUCAUAAUUGGCUUCAUCUCUCUGUCUCCUUUCCACCAAUCAGCUGGUGUGUGUGGUCUGGCACAAAAUGGCUGCCGUUGCGUCAUCCAGGUGGAUGCUGCACACUGGUGGUGGAUGAGGAGAUUCCCCCUAUUUGUAAAGCGCUUUGAGUGCCCAGAAAAGCGCAAUAUAAAUGUAAGGAAUUAUUAUUAACUUGCUUCAACACACCUGCCAGGAAGUUUCUAGUAUGUCUAGUAAGAGGUUGAUUA